Esox lucius (northern pike) is the source of this 1110-nucleotide long non-coding RNA. The record is from Ensembl. NCBI's taxonomy places the organism in Eukaryota, Metazoa, Chordata, Actinopteri, Esociformes, Esocidae.
GCAGCGGUCAAAUAUUUGCUCAACCCUCGAGCUUCCACAAAAUAUUCGCCACGAAUCAAGAUCGAACAUUGGUUUUGAUACUCCCGCCACAGGGGCGGUUACUUUUCACUCGUGAGUAAAACCCAACCUUAUUGGCUCUUCGUUGGCAUGGUGACAUGUUGGACGAAUCUCUUUGUUUUCGCUAUCCAAUGAAGAAGGACAUGCUCUAAACUCUUUCCAUUUGGGGGUUACUCUCGGUCAUAGAUCAACAGGUUCUUUGCAUACAGGUGUGAAAUCUUAACCAGGUUACAGUAAUUUACAUUCUAUUGUCCUAAUCUAGACUAGAACAUCAGGGGGUUGGAGACAGAAGGUCUCUUUGUGCUGUAUAGGGGGCAGUUUCAUUUGUAUGUUAAUUGUGGGGUUUCAAUCCUGUCUCUCUAUCUGAGCCAGGUGUAAAGUCUGAGUGAGUGUGGCUGAGUGUAAUGUAUGGAGUUCUAAACUUUUUAUGGUUAUUGUAUUCAAUCAUAUUUCCCUAACCGGCUGCAGCAUACACUUUAAUAAAACAAAAACAUAAGAAUACAUGGUUAUUAAAUCAGCAUUAUUUAAACUUCAUUUAUCUCAACAGUAGCCAGCUAAGUUUUUGUCUAUCCUGACCCAAAAAGCAUGCAUAAAUGCGUACUUCAAAAAUCUACCAGAAAUAGUCACAACAUAACCCUAGUUUUAUUUCAGGCUUAUUAUAAUCUGAAUACUGAAGGUUAUAGCCCAGUUUUUGUCUAUAAGGAACAAAUGUAAAUGCAGACUUUGUCUUGACUGUGAGGAGAUUCGGUCGGGGGACCUAUAGCUUGCAGGUACACUUCUCUUUCUACUUACGCUAUUUAACACGGCCGGUCGGUGGGUGAGUGAGUUACAUUAGCACUUCUAGGCCGCCUCCGCUUAAGCAGUCCGGCAAAAAGUAUUUGGUCCCAGGUAUUAUCCUGACAGUUUUACAUAAUUACGUGCGCAAUAAUGACGCCCUAGACAUUCGUCUGUCGUGUGAUUUGGGGGGUAAAACCCAAAACACACGACAGACAUACCUCAACAGCAUCAUUAUUGCGCACGUAAUUUUGAAGUGGUCAAUUCACGAGUGACAAC